UACAGAGGUGGCAAGCGUUGUUCGGAAUUACUGGGCGUAAAGGGCGCGUAGGCGGCCUUCUAAGUCAGACGUGAAAUCCCCAGGCUUAACUUGGGAACUGCGUCUGAUACUGGGAGGCUUGAGUGCGGGAGAGGGAUGUGGAAUUCCAGGUGUAGCGGUGAAAUGCGUAGAUAUCUGGAGGAACACCGGUGGCGAAGGCGGCAUCCUGGACCGACACUGACGCUGAGGCGCGAAAGCCAGGGGAGCAAACGGG
RNAcentral lists this ribosomal RNA (253 nucleotides) under uncultured bacterium. RNAcentral's name for it is "partial 16S ribosomal RNA". It matches the Rfam family "Bacterial small subunit ribosomal RNA", at positions 524 to 776 of the family's 1533-position model. The record is from RNAcentral.